AGUGAACGCUGGCGAUAGGCCUAACACAUGCAAGUCGAACGGCAGCACAGUAAGAGCUUGCUCUUACGGGUGGCGAGUGGCGGACGGGUGAGAAAUACAUCGGAAUCUACUUUUUCGUGGGGGAUAACGUAGGGAAACUUACGCUAAUACCGCAUACGACCUACGGGUGAAAGCAGGGGAUCUUCGGACCUUGCGCGAUUGAAUGAGCCGAUGUCGGAUUAGCUAGUUGGCGGGGUAAAGGCCCACCAAGGCGACGAUCCGUAGCUGGUCUGAGAGGAUGAUCAGCCACACUGGAACUGAGACACGGUCCAGACUCCUACGGGAGGCAGCAGUGGGGAAUAUUGGACAAAGGGCGCAAGCCUGAUCCAGCCAUACCGCGUGGGUGAAGAAGGCCUUCGGGUUGUAAAGCCCUUUUGUUGGGAAAGAAAAGCAGCAGGUUAAUACCCCGCUGUUCUGACGGUACCCAAAGAAUAAGCACCGGCUAACUUCGUG
This 492-nucleotide ribosomal RNA is filed under the name uncultured bacterium. Its description in RNAcentral is "partial 16S ribosomal RNA". It matches the Rfam family "Bacterial small subunit ribosomal RNA", at positions 29 to 507 of the family's 1533-position model. The record is from RNAcentral.